GAUGAACGCUGGCGGCGUGCCUAAUACAUGCAAGUCGAGCGAACGGACGAGAAGCUUGCUUCUCUGAUGUUAGCGGCGGACGGGUGAGUAACACGUGGAUAACCUACCUAUAAGACUGGGAUAACUUCGGGAAACCGGAGCUAAUACCGGGUAAUAUUUUGAACCGCAUGGUUCAAAAGUGAAAGACGGUCUUGCUGUCACUUAUAGAUGGAUCCGCGCUGCAUUAGCUAGUUGGUAAGGUAACGGCUUACCAAGGCGACGAUGCAUAGCCGACCUGAGAGGGUGAUCGGCCACACUGGAACUGAGACACGGCCCAGACUCCUACGGGAGGCAGCAGUAGGGAAUCGUCCGCAAUGGGCGAAAGCCUGACGGAGCAACGCCGCGUGAGUGAUGAAGGUCUUCGGAUCGUAAAACGCUGUUAUUAGGGAAGAACAUAUGUGUAAGUAACUGUGCACAUCUUGACGGUACCUAAUCAGAAAGCCACGGCUAACUACGUG
RNAcentral lists this ribosomal RNA (497 nucleotides) under uncultured bacterium. RNAcentral's name for it is "partial 16S ribosomal RNA". It matches the Rfam family "Bacterial small subunit ribosomal RNA", at positions 28 to 507 of the family's 1533-position model. The record is from RNAcentral.